CCUACGGGAGGCAGCAGUGAGGAAUAUUGGUCAAUGGGCGCGAGCCUGAACCAGCCAAGUAGCGUGAAGGAUGACUGCCCUACGGGUUGUAAACUUCUUUUAUAAAGGAAUAAAGUGAGGCACGUGUGCCUUUUUGUGUGUACUUUAUGAAUAAGGAUCGGCUAACUCCGUGCCAGCAGCCGCGGUAAUACGGAGGAUCCGAGCGUUAUCCGGAUUUAUUGGGUUUAAAGGGAGGGUAGAGGGGUUGUUAAGGGGGUUGUGAAAGUUUGGGGCUAAACCGUCAAAUUGCAGUUGAUACUGGCUGUCUUGAGUACGGUUGAGGUAGGCGGAAUGCGUGGUGUAGCGGUGAAAUGCUGAGAUAUCACGAAGAACUCCGAUUGCGAAGGCAGCUUACUAAGCUGCCACUGACAUUGAUGCACGAAAGUGUGGGUAUCAAACAGGAUUAGAUACCCGUGUAGUC
Molecule: ribosomal RNA, 460 nt
Filed under: uncultured bacterium
Lineage: Bacteria
Description: partial 16S ribosomal RNA
Rfam family: Bacterial small subunit ribosomal RNA
Source: RNAcentral